CAGAGAGGUACUGGAUCUGGCCGAAUGGGUUCUGGAACAAAACAGUCCAAAACGGAGAGGUGCCGGAUCCUGUUCUGGCAAGAUCCUGCUCAAAUUAAGCACUGGUGGUAGGCUAUGUAUUGUACAAGGAUACAAUCAUUUUUAUUCCUUUUUUUUUUUUUAACACUUGGGCUCGUAAGUCUAUGCAUAUAGAAUCCUUAAUAUGCAUAUGGGUGUUUUGAAUUAAUCAUCACCUUGACAGCUGUCUAUUUCGUUGUGCUAGGUUUGGAAAUUUUAACAAUUACCGUGUUUUACUCUGUUUCAACCUUCUAAUCAUCACAGUGAGGGGAGUUUUAAAAGCAUGAUACUGUUUUGAUGAUAAGUGUUUGAUGUGAUUUUAGAUUGUAUUUGCAUUGAUGUCCGAGUGGUUAGAGGAACAAUAAAGCCCUGAGUACCAGGCCAUAGGACCUGAUUGGUCAUUAGCAAAUGACAUACUACCAAAGCAUGUCCAGAGUGCAUAACAGGGGAUUACAUGGUCACAUGGAAUUUUACUGCGGACAUGACUUAUGAUUGACAGACUGAUGGUCUUUCUGCAAUCUGGUGCAGUAAUGCUUAUUUCUGGACACAGUCCCUCCUUUAACUCUAUCUUGCUUCACUCCUCUUCUCACUCUCUCUAAUUUUUCUCCUUUUACUUUGUCCAAUUUCCAUCCUGUUAUCCUCUUGCACCCAUCUGUCCUUUCCUUUCCCUCUCCUCUCCUUUCUCAGUUGUACUUGCUCAACUUCUGCAUCCUCUCUCCUCCGUCCUCUCUCGCCCUUGAUUCGAAAAAGGUCAAAGGAAAUCCAGGAGAGGCGGCCAGUAGAAGGAAUGUGGACGGAAAUGUGCUUGUAUGAAAUGACACUCCACUCCACUUGCACAAAUUACAUGUACGUGGUGAAAUAACAAAAUAAAUGUCAUAAAACAAAUGUAGCUAGUUGUUGAAGACAUUUUAUAGAUAAAAGAAUAAGUAGCAUAUCGUUUGCAUGAUUUUCUCCUUCGAGAACACAAUUCUUCAAAGGACUCAGAUAGGAUACACAUGACUAUCCUCGAUGAAAGGUGGCUAUCGAAGAGGGGAGGACACUCUUCCAACUAAAAAAUGUACAUUCUCCUCCACCACUUAUCGGUUUCUGGGUCAAGGAGGAGAGAGGAUGAAGGACGGACUUUUGGCCAAAUGAAAAAAGGCCCUAAUGUUAGACAUCUGAUGAUCCAAAAAGGCAAGAGGCCUGUAUAUUGCAGAGAUAAUUCUUAGUAAACUAUACAGGCCUACAAACAUUUAGAGGCAAGAGCAGAUCAUAACAUUAGGUUGCAGCAGACCGCAUAACAUUAGGUUGCAUCAGAUCAGCAUAACAUUUAGGUUGCAUCAGUUCAGCAUAACAUUAGGUUGCAGCAGAUCAUAACAUUAGGUUGCAUCAGACAGCAUAACAUUUAGGUUGCAUCAGUUGAGCAUAACAUUAGGUUGCAGCAGAUCAUAACAUUAGGUUGCAUCAGAUCAGCAUAACAUUAGGUUGCAUCCGUUCAGCAUAACAUUUAGGUUGCAUCAGAUCAGAAUAACAUUAGGUUGCAUCAAUUCAGCAUAACAUUAGGUUGCAGCAGAUCAUAACAUUAGGUUGCAGCAGAUCAUAAUAUUAGGUUGCAGGAGAUCAUAACAUUAGGUUGCAGGAGACAGCAUACCAUUAGGUUGUAGCAGAACAACAUAACAUUAGGUUGCAUCAGUUCAGCAUAACAUUAGGUUGCAGCAGACAGCAUAACAUUAGGUUGCAGCAGAUCAUAACAUUAGGUUGCAUCAGACAACAUAACAUUAAGUUGCAGCAGCCAGCAUAACAUUAGGUUGCAGCAGGGAGCAUAACAUUAGGUUGCAGCAGACAGCAUAACAUUAGGUUGCAGCAGACAACAUAACAUUAGGUUGCAGCAGCCAGCAUAACAUUAGGUUGCAGGAGACUACAUAACAUUAGGUUGCAUCAGAAAGCAUAACAUUAGGUUGCAUCAGUUCAGCAUAACAUUAGGUUGCAGGAGAACAACAUAACAUUAGGUUGCAGCAGACAGCAUAACAUUAGGUUGCAUCAGUUCAGCAUAACAUUAGGUUGCAACAGACUGCAUAACAUUAGGUUGCAGCAGACAGCAUAACAUUAGGUUGCAGCAGAUCAUAACAUUAGGUUGCAGCAGAACAACAUAACAUUAGGUUGCAGCAGACAGCAUAACAUUAGGUUGCAUCAAAACAGCAUAACAUUAGGUUGGAGCAGACAGCAUAACAUUAGGUUGGAGCAGAUAGCAUAACAUUAGGUUGCAGCAGAUCAUAACAUUAGGUUGCAUCAGUUCAGCAUAACAUUAGGUUGCAGCAGACCGCAUAACAUUAGGUUGCAGCAGACCGCAUAACAUUAGGUUGCAUCAGACAGCAUAACAUUUAGGUUGCAUCAGUUCAGCAUAACAUUAGGUUGCAUCAGACAGCAUAACAUUAGGUUGCAUCAGAUCAUAACAUUAGGUUGCAUCAGACAGCAUAACAUUAGGUUGCAUCAGAUCAUAACAUUAGGUUGCAUCAGACAGCAUAACAUUAGGUUGCAUCAGAUCAUAACAUUAGGUUGCAUCAGUUUCAGCAUAACAUUUAGGUUGCAUCAGACAACAUAACAUUAGGUUGCAUCAGACAGCAUAACUUUAGGUUGCAUUAGAUCAGCAUAACAUUAGGUUGCAUCAGAUCAGCAUAACAUUAGGUUGCAUCAGAAAGCAUAACAUUAGGUUGCAGGAGAUAGCAUAACAUUAGGUUGCAUCAGUUCAGCAUAACAUUAGAUUGCAUCAGAAAGCAUAACAUUAGGUUGCAUCAGAUCAGCAUAACAUUAGGUUGCAUCAGAUCAGCAUAACAUUAGGUUGCAUCAGAUCAGCAUAACAUUAGGUUGCAUCAGAAAGCAUAACAUUAGGUUGCAGCAAGACUCAUAUGUCUGAUGAUGAAAGGGAAAUCCCAGUCUAGUUUCAUAAAAAUUAUGGUUAAUGCUGUCUCUUUUUCUCUCUUUCCCCCUCUCUUUCUCUCUCUCCCCCUCUCUCUCCCUCUCUCUCUCUCUCUCUCUCUCCUUCUCUCUCUCCCCCUCUCUCUCACUUUCACUCUCUCUCCCUCUCUCUCCCCCUCUCUCGUUUUGUGAUUAUAAAACAUUGUUUAGAAGAAGGCGAAGUUAUUUAACAAGGUUAGUAGGUGACUCAGCCGUGACACUUAUUCUAAUGAGAAAAUCAUUUAAAAUAAGAGAUAUCCCUCAAUACGAGACUGACAAUAUAUCUCAUUCUAUUUAGGCUUUUUCCCUCAAAACCAGAGUGACAAUAUAUCUCAUUCUAUUUAGGCUUUUUCCCUCAAAACCAGAGUGACAAUAUAUCUCAUUCUAUUUAGGCUUUUUCCCUCAAAACCAGAGUGACAAUAUAUCUCAUUCUAUUUAGGCUUUUUCCCUCAAAACCAGAGUGACAAUAUAUCUCAUUCUAUUUAGGCUUUUUCCCUCAAUACCUGAGUGACAAUAUAUAUCAUUCUAUUUACGCUUAAUCCCUCAAAACCAGAGUGACUGUAAGGGUCCUGUGUGUAGCUGGUGUAGAGAGUCAGGCGCAGGACAGCAGAUAUCAGUAGAACAACACCAGGUCUGUAAGGUCCUGUGUGUAGCUGGUGUAGAGAGUCAGGCGCAGGACAGCAGAUAUGAGUAGAACAACACCAGGUCUGUAAGGGUCCUGUGUGUAGCUGGUGUAGAGAGUCAGGUGCAGGACAGCAGAUAUGAGUAGAACAACACCAGGUCUGUAAGGGUCCUGUGUGUAGCUGGUGUAGAGAGUCAGGCGCAGGACAGCAGAUAUGAGUAGAACAACACCAGGUCUGUAAGGGUCCUGUGUGUAGCUGGUGUAGAGAGUCAGGCUCAGGACAGCAGAUAUGAGUAGAACAACACCAGGUCUGUAAGGGUCCUGUGUGUAGCUGGUGUAGAGAGUCAGGUGCAGGACAGCAGAUAUGAGUAGAACAACACCAGG
RNAcentral lists this long non-coding RNA (3997 nucleotides) under Salmo salar (Atlantic salmon). Its description in RNAcentral is "lncRNA (ENSSSAG00000113808.1, ENSSSAG00000114798.1)". Lineage: Eukaryota; Metazoa; Chordata; Actinopteri; Salmoniformes; Salmonidae. The record is from RNAcentral.